RNAcentral lists this ribosomal RNA (451 nucleotides) under uncultured bacterium. RNAcentral describes it as "partial 16S ribosomal RNA". It matches the Rfam family "Bacterial small subunit ribosomal RNA", at positions 28 to 507 of the family's 1533-position model. The record is from RNAcentral.
GAUGAACGCUGGCGGCGUGCCUAACACAUGCAAGUCGAGCGGCAGCGAGGGGUGCUUGCACCCUGUCGGCGAGCGGCGGACGGCUGAGUAACGCGUGGGAACGUGCCCCAAAGUGAGGAAUAACUGCCCGAAAGGGUAGCUAAUACCGCAUAUUAUCUUCGGAUCAAAGGAUUUAUCCGCUUUGGGAGCGGCUCGCGUCGGAUUAGGUAGCUGGUGAGGUAAUGGCUCACCAAGCCGACGAUCCGUAGCUGGUCUGAGAGGAUGACCAGCCAGACUGGAACUGAGACACGGUCCAGACUCCUACGGGAGGCAGCAGUGAGGAAUCUUCCACAAUGGGCGAAAGCCUGAUGGAGCAACGCCGCGUGCAGGACGAAGGCCUUCGGGUUGUAAACUGCUUUUAUAAGUGAGGAAUAUGACGGUAACUUAUGAAUAAGGAUCGGCUAACUACGUG